Homo sapiens (human) is the source of this 1470-nucleotide long non-coding RNA. Ensembl annotates it as long intergenic non-protein coding RNA 1069. The record is from Ensembl. Lineage: Eukaryota; Metazoa; Chordata; Mammalia; Primates; Hominidae.
AGGCUGUUGGAAGUUCCAUCAUCUUGUAGCUGCUCCCAGUGGCAAAGAGCAACCAAAGAACUACAUAUUUAUCAGUGAUGAAAUUGGACACACUCGAUUUUCCUCCCACUGGUAAUAUUUGCAGUCAGCAUGAAUAGACUUUCUCAGUACAGUUUUCAACUCCUGGCACAACAGUAUCCUUUUUCCAAACUAUAGCAUAAAUCACAGAAAAGUAUCUCCUCAUUUGUUUGGGAUGAGUUUUAAUUCAGAAACAAUUUAUAGUAAUAUUCUAAGAGACUGACUGAAUUUGCUUUCCCAACUGAAAAAGGAAUCAACUAUUUGUUAUUAUUUAAUGAAGCUUUGAAGCAUGAGGAAGUCAAUUAUUCUUCAGUGCAGUGAUGUACAAAGGGGACUCCUGCAUUUUCCCUGUUCCCUGAAGAGAUUAAGAACUUCUGAGUGGAGACAAACGGGAAAAAAUAUUGUUUGUGGAACCUUGCCUAGGCUUGAUGAGAAGGAGGAAAGAGCUCUUACAGCUAAAACUAAUCAGUAACUGUGGUUUCUCCAAACAUGGAAGAAUUUUCCAUCAACAGUCACAAUGGGGAGUGUCUAGUUGGACCAUCAUGGAAGAUGGAUGGGCCUCAAGAAGGUUAGCAGGAUUAAAUGAAGCAAAAAGGAUGGAGCCCUAAUUCAAUAGGAAUGAUGUGAUUAUAAGAAGAGAAAGAGACACCAAAGCACAGAGGCAAGAUGGUGUGAGGACACAAUGGGAAGGUGGCAUCUGCAACUAAGGAGAGAAGCUUCUGGAUAAACCAAAUUUGCUGACCUCUUAACCUUGGACAUCCAGUCUCUAGAACAGUGAAAAAAUUAAUUUCUGUGGUUUAAACUACAUAGUCUUUGCAACUUUGUUAUGGCAGCCCUGGCAGACUAUCAGAAAUGCAUUAAGAUGUUCACAAAAAGAAAUGUACAAAAUGUUCUUAGCAACAUUCUUGUAUUUGGUUAUUCUGAGAAUAACCAAAGCCUAAAAACAGUCCAGAUGUCCAUCAAGUGUAAUUUGUAUAAAUUAUGUUUAUUUAUUCCAAACAAUGUAAUUUGGCAAUGAAAACUAACAGAUUACAGCUAGACACAGCAACAGGAAUAAAUCACAAACAUAAUGUUGAGCCAAAGAACUAAGUACAGAUGAGUACGUCUUGAAUGAUUCUAUUCAUAUAAAGUUAUGAUGAAUCAGUCAAAAUGAAUCUGCUGUGUUAGAAAUCAGGAAUCAGGAGACUGGUUACCCUUGGGGGUCAGUAACAAAAAGGGAGUGAAAAGGGGCUUUCUGAGAUGUUGCUAAUAUCCUGAUCCUCAAUUUCAGUGAAUGCUGGUUACAUGCAUAUGUGUCUUUUGUGAAAAGCCACAGCACCAUCACUUAUGCAGCUUUUUGUGUGUAUAUUAUACUUCAAUAACAACAAGCAAGUGAUAGAUCUGGGACUCAAACCCAGGCUUUGAGGCUCCAAA